RNAcentral lists this ribosomal RNA (393 nucleotides) under uncultured bacterium. RNAcentral describes it as "partial 16S ribosomal RNA". It matches the Rfam family "Bacterial small subunit ribosomal RNA", at positions 523 to 918 of the family's 1533-position model. The record is from RNAcentral.
AUACGGAGGAUGCGAGCGUUAUCCGGAUUUAUUGGGGUUAAAGGGUGCGUAGGCGGCCUUGUAAGUCAGCGGUGAAAUUUUGCAGCUUAACUGUAAAAGUGCCGUUGAUACUGUGAGGCUAGGAUUUGGUUGCUGUGGGUGGAAUGUGUGGUGUAGCGGUGAAAUGCUUAGAGAUCACACAGAAUAUCGAUUGCGAAGGCAGCUCACAAAGCCAAGAUUGACGCUGAGGCACGAAAGUGUGGGGAUCAAACAGGAUUAGAUACCCUGGUAGUCCACACUGUAAACGAUGAUAACUCGCUGUCGGCGAUAUACAGUCGGUGGCCAAGCGAAAGCGAUAAGUUAUCCACCUGGGGAGUACGACCGCAAGGUUGAAACUCAAAGGAAUUGACGGGG